RNAcentral lists this long non-coding RNA (961 nucleotides) under Homo sapiens (human). Its description in RNAcentral is "non-protein coding SH3TC2-DT:45". Lineage: Eukaryota; Metazoa; Chordata; Mammalia; Primates; Hominidae. The record is from RNAcentral.
ACUUGGACCUAGCAGCAUCAAUGAGCCAGCUCCUCACUGGGGAACAUGCAAACCCCCAGCUGCUGGUGUGCAGGAAAAGAAUCCAGGAGAUCACCUGAUGAAGCCCAGCAUUUUACAGGUGAGGGGAUGGAGAACCAAAUACAUCAAAGGAUGGGGAGAGGUUGGUCAAUAGGUAAAAGGUUAGAGUUACAUAGGAGGAGUAAGUUCUAGUGUUCUAUUGCACAGUAGGGGGACUACAGUUAAUAACGUAUUGUAUAUUUCAACAUAGAAGAGAGGAUUUUGAAUGUUCUCACCACAAAAAAACAAUGAUGUUUGAGAUGAUGGAUAUGAUAAUUACCUUGAUUUGUUCAUUACACAAUACAUAGAUAUAUUGAAACAUCACAUUCUAGCCCAUAAAUGUGUAGAAUUAUUAUGUGUCAAUUAAAAAUAAAACUAAAAGAAAAAAUACAGCAAGUCUACAGGUAUGCAAGCAAAACUGGUCCCACAAGACUAACCUCUUUCCUGUUUCAGAUAGGCAGUGGAGCAGGGGAAUCCAGUUGACACUGUGGCUAAAUUUCAGAAAACCUCCCAUGAGAUCUUGCAAAGGAGAUGGAGAAAAUAUGGCUGAAUGCCAGCAAGGUAGGACGGAAGCAUGACUGCUCUAACAACCAAGCUCAAAGAGCACUGCUCACCCAAUGUUUCCUUCAUGACUAGAGCAAAGUGGUGAAAGGACCCUGGUGAGAGGCCCAAAGAACAGGAGGUGUGAGCCAAGAGAAGGUCCUGCCAGGCCUAUGUUGCAGGCUAUUUGGAGGCUGAACUUGAGAGUGGCUGUGAGAGGAAAUUCAGAAGUAUCUUUGGAAGCAUUUUGUUAAUUUUGAGAUGCUGGGGACAUCAUCAAAAUGAAAAACUUUUGUGCCUCAAAGAACACCAUCAAGAAACUGAAAAGACAACCCAAGAAGACAAAAUUUGCAAAUCUUAUAUC